AGAGUUUGAUUAUGGCUCAGGAUGAACGCUAGCGAUAGGCCUAACACAUGCAAGUCGAGGGGCAGCACAUGAGUAGCAAUACGAUGGUGGCGACCGGCGCACGGGUGAGUAACACGUAUGCAACCUACCUUUAACAGGGGAAUAACCCGUUGAAAAACGGACUAAUACUCCAUAACACAGGGGUCCCGCAUGGGAAUAUUUGUUAAAGAUUAAUCGGUUGAAGAUGGGCAUGCGUUCCAUUAGCUUGUUGGUGAGGUAACGGCUCACCAAGGCCACGAUGGAUAGGGGAACUGAGAGGUUUAUCCCCCACACUGGAACUGAGACACGGUCCAGACUCCUACGGGAGGCAGCAGUGAGGAAUAUUGGUCAAUGGAGGCAACUCUGAACCAGCCAAGUCGCGUGAAGGAUGAAGGUCUUAUGGAUUGUAAACUUCUUUUGCAAGGGAAUAAAGUGGGGGACGUGUCCUCCUUUGCAUGUACCUUGCGAAUAAGGAUCGGCUAACUCCGUGCCAGCAGCUGC
Molecule: ribosomal RNA, 519 nt
Filed under: uncultured bacterium
Lineage: Bacteria
Description: bacterial SSU rRNA
Rfam family: Bacterial small subunit ribosomal RNA
Source: RNAcentral